CCUCCAGUUCUUGACGCUGCGGUGCCUGCCCGUGGCCCGCCUGCGUGUUUGUGGAGGGAGAGCGACCUCCGCCAUGUCUUCGGUGCCAGGAAGCCGCCGUCUUCUGGUCCUAUCCUCUUUGGCCGAGACACCG
Leucoraja erinaceus (little skate) is the source of this 133-nucleotide small nucleolar RNA. RefSeq annotates it as small nucleolar RNA SNORA57. The record is from RefSeq and is a predicted model, not a curated record. The transcript has a single exon. NCBI's taxonomy places the organism in Eukaryota, Metazoa, Chordata, Chondrichthyes, Rajiformes, Rajidae.